GAUUGAUUGAUGUGUGUUAUUAUUUAA
RNAcentral lists this small RNA (27 nucleotides) under Bombyx mori (domestic silkworm). Its description in RNAcentral is "ovarian small RNA-16192". Lineage: Eukaryota; Metazoa; Arthropoda; Insecta; Lepidoptera; Bombycidae. The record is from RNAcentral.